UACACUCCUGCGGGAGGCAGCAGUGGGGAAUUUUGGACAAUGGGCGAAAGCCUGAUCCAGCAAUGCCGCGUGCAGGAUGAAGGCCUUCGGGUUGUAAACUGCUUUUGUAUGGAACGAAAAAGCUCCUUCUAAUACAGGGGGCCCAUGACGGUACCGUAAGAAUAAGCACCGGCUAACUACGUGCCAGCAGCCGCGGUAAUACGUAGGGUGCGAGCGUUAAUCGGAAUUACUGGGCGUAAAGCGUGCGCAGGCGGUUAUGUAAGACAGAUGUGAAAUCCCCGGGCUCAACCUGGGAACUGCAUUUGUGACUGCAUGGCUAGAGUACGGUAGAGGGGGAUGGAAUUCCGCGUGUAGCAGUGAAAUGCGUAGAUAUGCGGAGGAACACCGAUGGCGAAGGCAAUCCCCUGGACCUGUACUGACGCUCAUGCACGAAAGCGUGGGGAGCAAACAGGAUUAGAUACCCUGGUAGUCC
RNAcentral lists this ribosomal RNA (472 nucleotides) under uncultured organism. RNAcentral describes it as "partial 16S ribosomal RNA". It matches the Rfam family "Bacterial small subunit ribosomal RNA", at positions 332 to 796 of the family's 1533-position model. The record is from RNAcentral.